Molecule: long non-coding RNA, 838 nt
Organism: Daphnia magna
Lineage: Eukaryota; Metazoa; Arthropoda; Branchiopoda; Diplostraca; Daphniidae
Exons: 2
Source: RefSeq, a predicted model, not a curated record
UAUCAGGUCUAGCAUUAUGACAGAACAAUUGUUGCAACACACUAAAUGUUAAUGAAGACAUAUUACCUCACGAGUUAGUGCCAACUCAUGUUGUGUGUUUUCAAAUAAACCCUCAAGUUCUUGGCACCUGUGUUGUAGAUUUUCCUUUUCUUCCAGCAAAACAAUGCCAUAUUGGGCGGAUUGGAUUUUUUCGCUAUUCGUUUGGUCUAGCUCUCUCGUUAAGCGUUCGAUCUCCAAUGAUAAAAUUUCGACAUUACCAGUACCCGCUUCCAUUUUAGGGGAUCAGUUAAAACUAGUGUUCAAUUAGUGCUUAAUAGGAAAAAAAUCUAACAGUUAAAAUGCCGAUGGAAGCGAGAAUAAACGAGAUGUUCACGAGGAUAGGUGUAAGACGGUAGCCAUCACGGAACUGUCAGAAGUAGAACUGGGAAACACCAGAAAAAAAAAUGAACUGAACAGCUGACCGCAUUUGCCCUCAAAAAGAAGGCAUGGGCACUGGGCAGGGUUUGCCGGGAAAACAUCCAACUAAAAGAAUUGAUGUGAAUGUGAGCUGACAGUGUGAGAAUUCUGAGAAACUGAGAUAUUGCAAACACGAAAAAUUAAAUAUGGCAACAUACUGCAUACUAAUUCGGUUGUUGAUGAAUGUGAAUUGUUCGCAAGUUCGCCUAGAAAUCUAAAUUUCAUUAAAUUUAUAAGAACUAAAUAUCAAAAGUAUUACGAAUAGAAGUAUAACCUGAGCAAUCGAAUCAUUUGUAGUAACUUACCUACGUGUUUAAAGCAUCGGUGACCUGUUUUUCCAUCAUUAUAGUUAUUCUAAUGGAAAUCUUGUGUUUACAGUUGG